RNAcentral lists this ribosomal RNA (246 nucleotides) under uncultured bacterium. RNAcentral's name for it is "partial 16S ribosomal RNA". It matches the Rfam family "Bacterial small subunit ribosomal RNA", at positions 111 to 353 of the family's 1533-position model. The record is from RNAcentral.
UAACACGUGGGUAACCUGCCUUAUAGUGGGGGAUAGCCUUUCGAAAGGAAGAUUAAUACCGCAUAAGAUUGUAGUAUCGCAUGAUAUAGCAAUUAAAGGAGCAAUUCGCUAUAAGAUGGACCCGCGUCGCAUUAGCUAGUUGGUGAGGUAAUGGCUCACCAAGGCGACGAUGCGUAGCCGACCUGAGAGGGGGAUCGGCCACAUUGGGACUGAGACACGGCCCAGACUCCUACGGGAGGCAGCAUG